UACGAAGGGGGCUAGCGUUGCUCGGAAUCACUGGGCGUAAAGCGCACGUAGGCGGCUUCUUAAGUCAGGGGUGAAAUCCUGGAGCUCAACUCCAGAACUGCCUUUGAUACUGAGGAGCUUGAGUCCGGGAGAGGUGAGUGGAACUGCGAGUGUAGAGGUGAAAUGCGCAGAUAUCGGGAGGAACACCAAUGGCGAAGGCAGCUCGCUGGGACGGUACUGACGCUGAGACGCGAAAGCCAGGGGAGCGAACGGG
Molecule: ribosomal RNA, 253 nt
Filed under: uncultured bacterium
Lineage: Bacteria
Description: partial 16S ribosomal RNA
Rfam family: Bacterial small subunit ribosomal RNA
Source: RNAcentral